CAGCCGCCACGGUAAUACGUAGGUGGCAAGCGUUGUCCGGAAUUAUUGGGCGUAAAGGGCCCGCAGGCGGUUUCUUAAGUCUGAUGUGAAAGCCCCCGGCUCAACCGGGGAGGGUCAUUGGAAACUGGGAAACUUGAGUGCAGAAGAGGAGAGUGGAAUUCCACGUGUAGCGGUGAAAUGCGUAGAGAUGUGGAGGAACACCAGUGGCGAAGGCGACUCUCUGGUCUGUAACUGACGCUGAGGAGCGAAAGCGUGGGGAGCGAACAGGAUUAGAUACCCCGGUAGUCCCUGUCUCUUAUAC
Molecule: ribosomal RNA, 301 nt
Filed under: uncultured bacterium
Lineage: Bacteria
Description: partial 16S ribosomal RNA
Rfam family: Bacterial small subunit ribosomal RNA
Source: RNAcentral